UGUCUGCGCUGGCAGGGUUUUGCAUCAAUUUCAGCAGUACCUGGGCGUUGAGCGCCACAUUGUACGCUGUGUACCUAUUGGGUAACAUGAACUUCAGUAUCGCGUGUAGUUUCAGUGUUGACAUGUUUCCCACAUACAUCAAAGCCGCAGCAAUAUGCUUCACUAUGAUGAUUGGUCGGCUAGCAUCUGUUGCCGGGAUCAAUAUUGUUAAGAAUCUGUUAGCACAUAACUGUGAGCUAGUAUUCUACCUGUUCCCGGCAUUGUCGUUCGCUGCCGUAUUCGCUGUUGUUAUACUACCAGUAGAUAAGAAACUGGAGGUUAAAGAAGACAUAGAAAGUAAUACAAAAUUUUAAUUGAAACUAGUCUGAUUUAGUACUUCAUUAUAGUGGAUAAGUCUUGAAAGAAAGCGAAUUAUAGCCUCUUAUUCAAGCGUGUCUGCAAGUAAUAUGACUUAUCAUCAGUUCACAACAACCACCGAUUUUUGUGUGGAAACAUAUUGCAUAUCAAAAAGACAAAAUUAAAGGGCCAACAGAAAGUAUUUUUAAAUUAAAACAAAGGAUGGAAGCGAAGGAAGGAUCUACAGUACAGAAUCAAGGGGGCUCGAGAUAGAUCCUACAAGCCCGGGACACAUAGAUGAAGACAUAGAACAGAUGGCUGAUGAUUAUGGUUCUAUUAUAUUGGAUCUAGUCUCGGCCGUAAACAUUCAAUUGACAUAAUAUCCUAAAGAAUACAGCAUCAAAUAGCACCUGUAUGAAAAAAAAAAAAAUAUAAUGUAACCAAGAGACUUAAUUUUUACAAGACAAAAUGGAAAUUCUGCAGAACGAGGAUUUGUGGUUAAGGCCAAGUUCCAGAACGCCUCCGCGUAGUGUAUAUAUAGCUUAUUAUGUUUGUAUGACAAUGCUGAAUUACAGCUAUCUACCACACAUU
Molecule: long non-coding RNA, 927 nt
Organism: Leptidea sinapis
Lineage: Eukaryota; Metazoa; Arthropoda; Insecta; Lepidoptera; Pieridae
Exons: 3
Source: RefSeq, a predicted model, not a curated record